UACGUAGGGUGCAGGCGUUAAUCGGAAUUACUGGGCGUAAAGCGUGCGCAGACGGUUUGCUAAGACAGGUGUGAAAUCCCCGGGCUUAACCUGGGAACUGCGCUUGUAACUGGCAAGCUAGAGUGUGGCAGAGGGGGGUGGAAUUCCACGUGUAGCAGUGAAAUGCGUAGAUAUCAGGAGGAAUACCGAUGGCGAAGGCAGGUCUCUGGGCUGACACUGACGCUCAUGCACGAAAGCGUGGGGAGCAAACAGG
Molecule: ribosomal RNA, 253 nt
Filed under: uncultured bacterium
Lineage: Bacteria
Description: partial 16S ribosomal RNA
Rfam family: Bacterial small subunit ribosomal RNA
Source: RNAcentral